This 84-nucleotide transfer RNA is filed under the name Ailuropoda melanoleuca (giant panda). It matches the Rfam family "tRNA". From Rfam's summary of the family: Transfer RNA (tRNA) molecules are approximately 80 nucleotides in length. Their secondary structure includes four short double-helical elements and three loops (D, anti-codon, and T loops). Lineage: Eukaryota; Metazoa; Chordata; Mammalia; Carnivora; Ursidae. The record is from Rfam by way of RNAcentral.
GCCUGGGUAGCUCAGUAGGUUAAGCAUCUGACUUCAGCUCAGGUCAUGAUCCCAGGGUCCUGGGAUCAAGUCCCACAUCAGGCU